AACACGCUCCUUAGAUCCACUUCUGGAGGAGCUGCUGUCAGUCCCUGGCAGUGAGCUCCUCGCAGCUUCCUGCUGUACAGUGCUUGAGUCAUUGGCGUGUGAGAUCAGUCUACCUGCCUCUCAGCCACCCUGCUGCACUGGCAACUCUGCCCUCUACAGGCGGGGAGCUCCCACUGCAGCUAGGCUGGGGGGCGGACACC
Gadus morhua (Atlantic cod) is the source of this 200-nucleotide small nucleolar RNA. Ensembl annotates it as small nucleolar RNA SNORA53. The record is from Ensembl. Lineage: Eukaryota; Metazoa; Chordata; Actinopteri; Gadiformes; Gadidae.